RNAcentral lists this ribosomal RNA (381 nucleotides) under uncultured bacterium. Its description in RNAcentral is "bacterial SSU rRNA". It matches the Rfam family "Bacterial small subunit ribosomal RNA", at positions 29 to 412 of the family's 1533-position model. The record is from RNAcentral.
AUUGAACGCUGGCGGAAUGCUUUACACAUGCAAGUCGAACGGCAGCACGGGGCAACCUGGUGGCGAGUGGCGAACGGGUGAGUAAUACAUCGGAACGUGCCCAAUCGUGGGGGAUAACGUAGCGAAAGUUACGCUAAUACCGCAUACGAUCUACGGAUGAAAGCGGGGGAUCGCAAGACCUCGCGCGAAUGGAGCGGCCGAUGUCAGAUUAGGUAGUUGGUGGGGUAAAGGCUCACCGAGCCGACGAUCUGUAGCUGGUCUGAGAGGACGACCAGCCACACUGGGACUGAGACACGGCCCAGACUCCUACGGGAGGCAGCAGUGGGGAAUUUUGGACAAUGGGCGGCAAGCCUGAUCCAGCCAUUCCGCGUGCAGGAUGAA